AUAUUUUGUAAUGGCAUGUGCAGGCAACCUAUCAACUUCAUCUUAUAUAAUAAUCAUAUGUAAUUUAUUUGUUUAUGUAUCAACGCCAUGCAGGAAACCAGCUGGUUGCCCAGAGCAGGAUGAGUCUUUAGUGACCCUACCACGGACUGCCACUUCAUCUUGGGACCCAGUUGAAGAAGAACUCACACAGAGGGAGGUGGCUCAGACAUGGAGAUCAAAAUGAGAGCAACUUUUCCUGCCAAUUCUCGGUGGCUGUACCGGAGGUGAUGCCAUCCGCCGCAUGCUGCGGCAAGUUGCAACGAAUGAUGUGCUGAGACAGUACAGCUUGCGGGGAAGAAAGACAAUGAGAGCCUUCCAGGACCUGGCCGUACGCAGGGUUAUAACAGGCAGGUGCUAUUUUAUUGUUCACAUUAGUAUUGUGCUUAGCUUGGCUGACAAGAGGUUUCAAUUUGACUUAUAACUUUGCUUCAUUUGGACUUCUACUCUAGCGGCCUGCCAGAAAAACUUCCCUGCGCUGACUGCUGCAGAAGCGGAGGAUUUGAUUGGGUAAAUUCUGAAGUUUGCCCC
Molecule: long non-coding RNA, 567 nt
Organism: Etheostoma cragini (Arkansas darter)
Lineage: Eukaryota; Metazoa; Chordata; Actinopteri; Perciformes; Percidae
Exons: 3
Source: RefSeq, a predicted model, not a curated record